CCUACUGCAUUCCCUAGUACGGCGAGUGAAGAGGGAAGAGCUCAAAUUUGAAAGCUGGUACCUUCGGUAUCCGCGUUGUAACCUCGAGACACGUUUUCCGUGCGGCGCUAUGGACAAGUUCCUUGGAACAGGACAUCGUAGAGGGUGAAAAUCCCGUACUUGCCAUGGAUGUACCGUGCUUUGCGAUACGUGCUCUAAGAGUCGAGUUGUUUGGGAUUGCAGCUCAAAAUGGGUGGUAGACUCCAUCUAAAGCUAAAUAUCGGGGAGAGACCGAUAGCGAACAAGUACCGUGAGGGAAAGAUGAAAAGCACUUUGGAAAGAGAGUUAAAAGUACGUGAAAUUGUCGAAAGGGAAGCGCUUGAAGUCAGCCAUGCCGCUCAGGACUCAGCCUGGCUUUUGCUUGGUGUAUUUCCUGGGUAGCAAGUCAGCAUUGGUUUGGAUCGUCGGAGAAGCAUAGUCGGAAUGUGGCGCCCUCGGGCGUGUUAUAGCCUUCUAUUGGAUACGACGAUCUAGACCAAGGAACGCAGCGCGCCUUAUGGCGGGUCUUCGGACACCUUCGCGCUUAGGAUGCUGGCGUAAUGGCUUUAAGUGGCCCGUCUUGAACCC
Molecule: ribosomal RNA, 606 nt
Filed under: Malassezia furfur
Lineage: Eukaryota; Fungi; Basidiomycota; Malasseziomycetes; Malasseziales; Malasseziaceae
Description: eukaryotic LSU rRNA
Rfam family: Eukaryotic large subunit ribosomal RNA
Source: RNAcentral